This 497-nucleotide ribosomal RNA is filed under the name uncultured bacterium. RNAcentral describes it as "partial 16S ribosomal RNA". It matches the Rfam family "Bacterial small subunit ribosomal RNA", at positions 28 to 507 of the family's 1533-position model. The record is from RNAcentral.
GAUGAACGCUGGCGGCGUGCCUAAUACAUGCAAGUCGAGCGGAAGGGCGCGGAGCUUGCUUCUCUGAUGUUAGCGGCGGACGGGAGAGUAACACGUGGAUAACCUACCUAUAAGAGUGAGAUAACCUCGGGAAAGCGGAGAUAACAGCGGAGGAUAUUUUGAACCGCAUGGGUGAAAAGUGAAAGACGGUCUUUCUGGCACUUAUCGAUGGAUCCGCGCUGCUUUAGCUAGUUGGGAAGGUAACGGCUUACCAAGGCAACUAUGCAUAGGCGACCUCAUAGGCUGGUCGGCCGCCUUGGAGCUGGGCCGCGCUCCUUAGUCCUACGGGAGGCCCCAGUAGGGUACGUUCCGCAGUAGGCGAAAGCCUGACGGAGUAACGCCGCGUGAGUUAUGGAGGUCUUCGGAUCGUAAUACUCUGUUAUUAGGGAAGAACAUCUUUGUAAGUAACUGUACAGAGCUUGACGGUACCUAAUCAGAAAGCCACGGCUAACUACGUG